GACGAACGCUGGCGGCGUGCUUAACACAUGCAAGUCGAACGGUGAAGCGCCUUCCUUUUUGGUGGGUGUGGAUGAGUGGCGAGCGGGUGAGUAACACGUGAGUAACCUGCCCCCUUCUUCUGGAUAACCGCAUGAAAGUGUGGCUAAUACGGGAUAUUCUGGGUCUGUCGCAUGAUGGGUCUGGGAAAGAUAUUGUUUCGGUGGGGGAUGGGCUCGCGGCCUAUCAGCUUGUUGGUGGGGUGAUGGCCUACCAAGGCGGUGACGGGUAGCCGGCCUGAGAGGGUGGACGGUCACACUGGGACGGAGACACGGCCCAGACUCCUACGGGAGGCAGCAGGGGGGAAUAUUGCACAAUGGGCGAAAGCCUGAUGCAGCGACGCCGCGGGAGGGAUGGAGGCCUUCGGGUUGUGAACAUCUUUCGCCAGUGAAGCAGGCCUGCCUCGUUUGUGGGUGGGUUGACGGUAGCUGGAUAAGAAGCGCCGGCUAACUACGUG
RNAcentral lists this ribosomal RNA (494 nucleotides) under uncultured bacterium. RNAcentral describes it as "partial 16S ribosomal RNA". It matches the Rfam family "Bacterial small subunit ribosomal RNA", at positions 28 to 507 of the family's 1533-position model. The record is from RNAcentral.